Molecule: ribosomal RNA, 387 nt
Filed under: uncultured bacterium
Lineage: Bacteria
Description: bacterial SSU rRNA
Rfam family: Bacterial small subunit ribosomal RNA
Source: RNAcentral
GACGAACGCUGGCGGCGUGCUUAACACAUGCAAGUCGAGCGGUAAGGCCCUUUCGGGGGUACACGAGCGGCGAACGGGUGAGUAACACGUGGGUGACCUGCCCUUAGCUCUGGGAUAAGCCUGGGAAACUGGGUCUAAUACCGGAUAUGACUCCAUGACGCAUGUUGUGGGGUGGAAAGCCUUGUGCGGCUAGGGAUGGGCCCGCGGCCUAUCAGCUUGUUGGUGGGGUGAUGGCCACCGAGGCGACGACGGGUAGCCGGCCUGAGAGGGCGACCGGCCACACUGGGACUGAGACACGGCCCAGACUCCUACGGGAGGCAGCAGUGGGGAAUCUUGCGCAAUGGGCGAAAGCCUGACGCAGCGACGCCGCGUAGGGGAUGACGGCCU